Non-coding RNA from Pelobates cultripes (western spadefoot toad), 322 nucleotides. The record is from the annotation of a GenBank genome assembly. Lineage: Eukaryota; Metazoa; Chordata; Amphibia; Anura; Pelobatidae.
GUUCCUUGAGGCCUACCACAAACGCUGCAGAUAGCAUCUGAGUGUGUGCUUUGUUAUAGGUGCUGAACCCUAAAUCUGAAAAAGUCUGAGUCAACCUAGAGUGGUACUUUUCAACUGUCUCAAGUUUAUCCUGAAGAAUAUCAUUUAUGCAAGUAGCCUGAUCAGCUAGUUUAUCCUGCGCCCAGGCUCGAAGCUGUUCACAGAAAACUUCACCAGAACGAAAAUCAGUAUCAGAAGUAAGAGGAGCAUCGCUAAAGCUCCGUUCCAUGAUUGGCCAGUAUGCAUCACCAGCCUUUAUUUCACAUAAACUUAUAAGAUCCCG